RNAcentral lists this transfer RNA (160 nucleotides) under Bacillota bacterium. RNAcentral describes it as "tRNA-Thr". The record is from RNAcentral. Lineage: Bacteria; Bacillati; Bacillota.
CUAGCGGCAAAGAAUCAUUUCAAAUGAAAGUAAAAAAAUUAGGAAAGAAAAAAAUAAUAUCCUCAAUGUGUCCUAUAAGUAUGAUAAAAUGUUUUUAAUAUGUCAUUUACCUGCUGAUUCGUAAUCAGUAGGUCGGGGGUUCGAUUCCCCCCCCGCUAGC